AUUGAACGCUGGCGGCAUGCUUUACACAUGCAAGUCGAACGGUAACAGGCCGCGAUUUGCUGACGAAUGUCGGACGGGGGAGUAAUGCAUCGGAACGGGCCCAGUCGUGGUGGAUAACGGAUCGAAAGGGGAGCUAAUACCUCAUACGAUCUAAUGAUUAAAGCGGGGUGCCUGAAUGCUGCACGCGGGUUUUGCUGUCUCUUACAGAUGAUUUCGUGUCGGAUUAGGUAGUUGGUGAGGUAAAGGCUUACCAAGGCAACGAUGUGUAGCUGGUCUGAGAGGACGAUCAGCCACACUGGGACUGAGACACGGCCCAGACUCCUACGGGAGGCAGCAGUGGGGAAUUUUGGACAAUGGGCGAAAGCCUGAUCCAGCAAUGCCGCGUGCGGGAAGAAGGCCUUCGGGUUGUAAAACGCUUUUGUACGGAAAGAAAAGGCUCUGGUUAAUACAUGGGGCUAAUGACGGUACCGUAAGAAUAAGCACCGGCUAACUACGUG
RNAcentral lists this ribosomal RNA (497 nucleotides) under uncultured bacterium. RNAcentral describes it as "partial 16S ribosomal RNA". It matches the Rfam family "Bacterial small subunit ribosomal RNA", at positions 30 to 507 of the family's 1533-position model. The record is from RNAcentral.